AUGAGGAAAUAAUGAAUGAAUAUUUCUUUCCAUGGUAGGAUUAAUUUUAAAUCUACCUCCAUGGAGAAAAUAGUUUUAAAACAUCAGACAUAAAUCGCAAUCUUAUACAUGUACAUGGAUUCACAUUCUCUCCAACCUGAUUUUGAAUUGAAAUCAACUUCAUUAUUGAUUACAAGAAAUAAUUCCACUUCCAUGGUUUGAUUGCUAUAUACAGAUAAUUAUGCACUGGAUUCUGUAGUACAAGUCAUACAGAUGCAUGUUUAUGUAUGUAUUUAAAUGAUUUCUGGUGAGGUGAUGAAAUGGAUGUAAAGUGUUUCAUAGACCUGCAUUAUUGGUGUGUUUUGACAUGAAUAUCUGUGUCACUUGUUAGUUAUUGUAUGUGGUUAUGUGUAUAUUUUUCUUUUUUGUCCAGUUGUUUGUUUGUUCCUUUCUAUCAUUAUUUGACAUACAUAUAUGUAUCAAACUA
This is a long non-coding RNA of Ostrea edulis (European flat oyster), 466 nucleotides long. RefSeq lists it as uncharacterized. The transcript has 2 exons. NCBI's taxonomy places the organism in Eukaryota, Metazoa, Mollusca, Bivalvia, Ostreida, Ostreidae. The record is from RefSeq and is a predicted model, not a curated record.